Non-coding RNA from Triticum aestivum (bread wheat), 126 nucleotides. The record is from Rfam. Lineage: Eukaryota; Viridiplantae; Streptophyta; Magnoliopsida; Poales; Poaceae.
AUUCUACUCUCUUCGUUUGGAAAUACUAGUUGGAGAAAUGAAUGUAUCUAGACAUAUUUUAGUUCUAGAUACAUUUAUUUUUAUCCAUUUUUGCAACAAGUAAUUCCAGACCAAGGGGAGGGGGAA